Molecule: ribosomal RNA, 258 nt
Filed under: uncultured bacterium
Lineage: Bacteria
Description: partial 16S ribosomal RNA
Rfam family: Bacterial small subunit ribosomal RNA
Source: RNAcentral
CUUGCUUUCUUUGCUGGCGACCGGCGCACGGGUGAGUAACACGUAUCCAACCUGCCCUUUACUCGGGGAUAGCCUUUCGAAAGAAAGAUUAAUACCCGAUAGCAUAACGAUUCCGCAUGGUUUCAUUAUUAAAGGAUUCCGGUAAAGGAUGGGGAUGCGUUCCAUUAGGUUGUUGGUGAGGUAACGGCCCACCAAGCCUUCGAUGGAUAGGGGUUCUGAGAGGAAGGUCCCCCACAUUGGAACUGAGACACGGUCCAA